AAGACCGGUCUUUGUUUAGAGCCAAACCGUUGUUACAAACGAGAUUGUCCAUGAUAACUUUGGCUUCUUUCGUCUUCUUAUCGUAUCUGAUCACUCUUCCCGACCGCUCC
RNAcentral lists this small RNA (110 nucleotides) under Arabidopsis thaliana (thale cress). RNAcentral's name for it is "ATSL184300". Lineage: Eukaryota; Viridiplantae; Streptophyta; Magnoliopsida; Brassicales; Brassicaceae. The record is from RNAcentral.